AGCACGAAGGUUGGCUAAUCCUGGUCGGACAUCAGGAGGUUAGUGCAAUGGCAUAAGCCAGCUUGACUGCGAGCGUGACGGCGCGAGCAGGUGCGAAAGCAGGUCAUAGUGAUCCGGUGGUUCUGAAUGGAAGGGCCAUCGCUCAACGGAUAAAAGGUACUCCGGGGAUAACAGGCUGAUACCGCCCAAGAGUUCAUAUCGACGGCGGUGUUUGGCACCUCGAUGUCGGCUCAUCACAUCCUGGGGCUGAAGUAGGUCCCAAGGGUAUGGCUGUUCGCCAUUUAAAGUGGUACGCGAGCUGGGUUUAGAACGUCGUGAGACAGUUCGGUCCCUAUCUGCCGUGGGCGCUGGAGAACUGAGGGGGGCUGCUCCUAGUACGAGAGGACCGGAGUGGACGCAUCACUGGUGUUCGGGUUGUCAUGCCAAUGGCACUGCCCGGUAGCUAAAUGCGGAAGAGAUAAGUGCUGAAAGCAUCUAAGCACGAAACUUGCCCCGAGAUGAGUUCUCCCUGAGACUUAGAGUCUCCUGAAGGAACGUUGAAGACGACGACGUUGAUAGGCCGGGUGUGUAAGCGCAGCGAUGCGUUGAGCUAACCGGUACUAAUGAACCGUGAGGCUUAACCUU
RNAcentral lists this ribosomal RNA (624 nucleotides) under Escherichia coli. Its description in RNAcentral is "partial 23S ribosomal RNA". It matches the Rfam family "Bacterial large subunit ribosomal RNA", at positions 2307 to 2925 of the family's 2925-position model. Lineage: Bacteria; Pseudomonadati; Pseudomonadota; Gammaproteobacteria; Enterobacterales; Enterobacteriaceae. RNAcentral also lists the same sequence under 1 other name. The record is from RNAcentral.